This 3198-nucleotide long non-coding RNA is filed under the name Panax ginseng (ginseng). RNAcentral describes it as "long non-coding RNA (PGIN_LNC009308)". Lineage: Eukaryota; Viridiplantae; Streptophyta; Magnoliopsida; Apiales; Araliaceae. The record is from RNAcentral.
UUCUUCCAAAAGCUAACAAAAGAAAUAAAAUAUAAAUAGAGAAAGAGAGGGUAGUGGUUGGCUAGUCCAAGAAGAAAGGAGAAGAGAAGUUUUCCACAUAGCUUUAACUCUCACUUUAGAAGAAGAACAUCCAAAGAAAAAGGUAUAAUAUUCAACUAUAUAUAAACUAGUUUAUUACUUUUAUUUCUUUUAUUUUGGAUGAAAUGAAGAUAUAAUAUUUUCCAAAUCCAAAAAACCUUAGAUCUACAUGUUAUUAAGUAUUUUAUGUUUAGAUCUAACCAUUUCGGGUGUUAGAAGUUGGAUCAAAAGGAAUAUAAGAAAAAUAGGUUUUCUAGUUUAGAAAACCCUAAUCUUUCUUCACUUUGAAAAUCCACCAUUUAAGAUAUACACUUUCUUUUUGUGAUCCUUCUAAGAGGGGUUCUAGAUAUGUAAGUUAAAUGUUAAACCCAAGUGGUAGCACUCAAAAUUGUUAAUUUUACAAGCCAUAGGAUCUGUUUUGGUGUAAACUGUCCAGCUAGAAUAAAAAAAGGGGGAAAAGUAGUUUUUGUCUAGCUGCUUCCAGGGGCAAUUUUGUUCGUUUAAGUUACUUUAAGAAUUAUGGAAAACUUUGGUAGGAUAUUAUGAUAAGUUUAUCUAGAUCCAGUCCAAAGAUGAAAAUAUUUGGAUGUGUAGAAUGAGAGUUAUGGAUUUUACAAGAAAUGAUUGUUUUAAAAGAAAACUGAAAUUACUUUUUGUGUAUAACUCUAAAAAUUGUUAAAUUUGUACUGGAGGUAGAGUAUCAUGGCAGGAGCAUACAAUGAAAAUUCUAGAAUUUUUGGACAAAGUUUCGAUUUAUGAAAAAUGCUGCAAGAUCCAGCUGUUUUUGUCAUUUUAAAAAGAGUAAAUGAAAUUCAAAAAAUCCAGAAAAAUUAUAUGUUUAUCAUGAUACCAUAUAAUGAUAUUUUUCAGAAAAUAAAUAUUUUUGGAGUUGAUUUGGUAUUUUUCAUGUAAAUAAUUGAGUUAUGAAUAAAUGAAUAAAAUAAGUAAUGUGAUGUUAUAAAAGGUAAAAAUAUAAUUUUUGACCAAAGACCCUUGAUAUUAGGUAAUCAGAUUUUUAGAGGGUAUUUUAGUCAUUUUUGAUAAAAUUUUAUAUUUAUAGCAUUUUAGAUUUAUUAAAUGAAUGAGUUAGUAAAGGGUAAACAAUUAGAAUUAAUUAUUUAUUAGUUUAAUAAAUGAUUAAAAUAUUAUUAAGAGCUUAAUAAUAUUAGUUUAAGAUACUAUUAAGUAAUUAAUAAUAUUUAGAUUAAAGCUGGAUAAAAAUAAUAUUAAAUGAUUAAUAACAUUAGAUUAAAGUUAAAUUAAAAUAUUAUUAAAUAAUUAAUAAUAUUAGAUAAUGAUUUAAAAUAUUAUUAAAUGAUUAAUAAUAUUAUAUUAGACUUAAAUUAAAAUAUUAUUAAAUAAUUAAUAAUAUUAUGUUAGAGUUAAAUUAAAAUAUUAUUAAAUAAUUAAUAAUAUUAGAUAAUAAUUUAAAAUGUUAUUAAAUAAUUAAUAAUAUUAAUAAGGGGUUUAAAUAUUUUUAAAUGGUUAAUAAUAUUAGAAAGUGAAUAAAAUAUUAUUAAAUAAUUAAUAAUAUUAGACAAGAGUUUAAGACAAUGAUUAUAUGAUAAUAAUAUUAUCAAGGGAUGAUAAUAUUCCUAAUGAGUAAGGUAUUAUUGAAUGUUUGAUUACAUGAUUACAUGUUAGAUAAUUUAUUAUAAGAAUAGUGGUGGUAUGAGUUAUAAUAUGUUAUGCUAAUUGAUAGAUCAAUAUUAUUAAUGAUAGGUCUUUCAAACGAAGUUAAAUAAAUUGUGUAGCAGUAGUCAACGACCAAGACAAGUUUCCUAUCUCAACUUGGGUUAUUAAUUUCAAAGCAUGAUUAGUUGAUAAUUAUUGUUGGUUAUUCACAUCUAUAAUGAUUAUUGCUAUUCGCACAUAGUGCAUUUAAUUUCAUGUUCUAUUAUUUGAACUGUGAAAUAAAUUUAAAGUUCUUUUAUUCAUGAACUGUUUAUGAGCCAUGUCUCAGUUAUUCGUUUCGGCUAGACUAAUAAUUGAUGAAUCGUUCUAUUAUUUGAACUAAGUUGUUAUUGAAAGAUUUAUGCCAUUUAUUUUGGCUAGAUCAAUAUUGAUAGUAUAUGUUGAAAUCAUAACAUUUCUUUAAAAGCAAUCCAAACCAUAUUGUUGUGGUACGGACUCAUGAUGUAAGACUGAGAUGAACAACCCUUAUAAAAAAGGGAAACUUUAUUGUCGGACAUCUGACCCUUACGAUAUUUUUUAGUAUUAUGCAUAAUAUAGGGUACAAUGGGGCUGAUCAUCUCAUGUACUCGCAGAAGAGUAUAAUUAGUUUUUAUAACUAACUUAUAUUCUUGAGGUAAUUCAGUUUUAUUAACUAAUGAUUCCUCUAGGCUCUAGUAUUUCUUGAUUCAUCUGUGAUCACUCAGCAUGAAAUAAGGGAGUAUCCCACUUUAUUAAAUAAUGUCGCAGUAUUGCUAAAUUUUCUUAAUUAAUUAGAUAUUAUUAAACCAUAGAAAGAAUUGUAAUCUUUCAUUUUUGAUAUGUUAUUCAGCUUGGAAUUCAAGAAAAUUCUUGUUAUUAAAAAGUGAUAUAUUGUUCAGCUAUUUCAAUCUUUUGAUUAUUGUUGAAGUUCUAUAAAUUUAGACUCUCUGUUCCUGAUCCUUUAUUGUAUACUUUAACUUGCUAACCUUUGCUUAAAUAAAACAUUUCAGCUAUAGCCGAGGUAGUCGAAGGUUCUAAGAAGGAUAAAGGCAAAACGAAGGCAACCGAGUAGAAUCAAUUGUGUAAUGAUCUUAUUAUAUUAUAUUUUGGUUUAAGCCUUUUGUAUAAUAGGGCAUGUAAUGUUAAGGUUAGUUAACCUGGGUUGAUGUUACAAUCAUGUAUUUAAAGUAUGUUUUUAUUAAGGAAAUGUAAUGAAUGAUGUAAUUUAUAACGAAUGGGUAGUUAGAUGUGAUAUGUAUGAUGUAUCGUGAGCACCGAAUUCGAGGUUUGAGAAACCCGGAUUUGGGGGCGUCAUAGAUUGCAUCUCCCGAAUUUAUCUAGUGUAACAUAGUACACUACAAGAAAUUAGGGAUGUAGUGAAGGAAAUUUUGUCUCACAUGAGGAGCUUUCUAGCGAAGGAAUAGUGAAGGAAAAAAAAAUGUAGUGACAAUAUAGUUAUUAGCGAAA